UGCUGGAGGUAUCAGAAGUGCGAAUGCUGACAUAAGUAACGAUAAAGCGGGUGAAAAGCCCGCUCGCCGGAAGACCAAGGGUUCCUGUCCAACGUUAAUCGGGGCAGGGUGAGUCGACCCCUAAGGCGAGGCCGAAAGGCGUAGUCGAUGGGAAACAGGUUAAUAUUCCUGUACUUGGUGUUACUGCGAAGGGGGGACGGAGAAGGCUAUGUUGGCCGGGCGACGGUUGUCCCGGUUUAAGCGUGUAGGCUGGUUUUCCAGGCAAAUCCGGAAAACCAAGGCUGAGGCGUGAUGA
RNAcentral lists this ribosomal RNA (295 nucleotides) under Escherichia coli. RNAcentral describes it as "partial 23S ribosomal RNA". It matches the Rfam family "Bacterial large subunit ribosomal RNA", at positions 1271 to 1569 of the family's 2925-position model. The record is from RNAcentral. Lineage: Bacteria; Pseudomonadati; Pseudomonadota; Gammaproteobacteria; Enterobacterales; Enterobacteriaceae.